This is a long non-coding RNA of Sinocyclocheilus rhinocerous, 345 nucleotides long. RefSeq lists it as uncharacterized. Lineage: Eukaryota; Metazoa; Chordata; Actinopteri; Cypriniformes; Cyprinidae. The record is from RefSeq and is a predicted model, not a curated record. The transcript is spliced from 3 exons.
ACUUUUCUUUAAUCAAUGGCCUGACUGCAAUGAUAACAGGAUUAGGGGACCCGAUCCAACCGAGUGUGAGCUGGACAGGUUUUGAGAGGUGCUACAAUGCCUGGAAAGGCCAGAACGUACAAAUAAUGAGGAGGAGAAAGGUCAGUGGCAAACACAAUGGUUCAUGUCACUCAACAACCUUCAGUGGACAAACAGCAGGAAGCUGAUGUCUUCAUAAAAAGAUGGAUUUCCGUCCAUCCUCAAAAACAUGAUGUUAAUCAGGAGUAAAGGCUGAUUCGUAAGGAGGAACUGAACCGCGAAGUGAAGAAUAAUAAGAAAGUCAGAUGUGUUUGGGACGACACUAGG